UCCGAUAGCAAACAAGUACCGUGAGGGAAAGUUGAAAAGUACUUUGAAGAGAGAGUAAACAGUGCGUGAAGCCGCUCAGAGGUAAACGGGUGGAGUUGAACUGUGAUCUCUGUGGAUUUAGCUGGUGAGAAUGGUUUGAGCUUGGUCAAAUUGGUUGAGACCGGGAAUCUGCGUAGCAGCAGGUCCUUGCCUUCGGGUGGGGAUGCGCGAUACACUUAUCAGGUGUUGUGCGUUCCAUGUUUUUCGUGCCAGCUCGCCAGUGCACUUUCGCAGAGUGUUCACCACGACCGGCAUCGCUGUCUGGCUGUUGUGGUUAAACCGGCCUUUCAUUGUCCUCGUGGCUUUGGAUUGUCGGGAUGGCAGGUAGCUCGUUGGCUAGGCUUGUGGCUUGCUGCAGGCUUUUGGCUCUCGGGUGUAAUUGGCUGACCAUAUCGGCACUGUGCAGUAUGUCGGAGACGGCGGCUUGUGGUGUGUGCGUUCGUGCCAGUUGGUUGGCGUUUCCGGGUUUGGUUGUUAUGUUGCCUGUGUUUGCAGGCCUGAUGA
This 543-nucleotide ribosomal RNA is filed under the name Pseudosellacotyla lutzi. RNAcentral's name for it is "partial large subunit ribosomal RNA". It matches the Rfam family "Eukaryotic large subunit ribosomal RNA", at positions 333 to 632 of the family's 3401-position model. Lineage: Eukaryota; Metazoa; Platyhelminthes; Trematoda; Plagiorchiida; Faustulidae. The record is from RNAcentral.